GCGCUGUCGGCGCCAUCAUGCAGUUGUGUGGUCAGGUGUGGUCAGCUCUGUCGGCGCCAUCAUGCAGUUGUGUGGUCAGGUGUGGUCAGCUCUGUCAGCGCCAUCAUGCAGUUGUGUGGUCAGGUGUGGUUAGUCAUGUUGGCGCCAUCAUGCUUGUUGUGUGGUCAGGUGUGGUCAGCUCCGUCGGCGCCAUCAUGCUUGUUGUGUGGUCAGGUGUGGUCAGCUCCGUCGGCACCAUCAUGCAGUUGUGUGGUCAGGUGUGGUCAGCGCUGUCAGCGCCAUCAUGCAGUUGUGUGGUCAGGUGUGGUCAGCGCUGUCAGCGCCAUCAUGCAGUUGUGUGGUCAGGUGUGGUCAGCGCUGUCAGCGCCAUCAUGCAGUUGUGUGGUCAGGUGCGGCAAAGAAGGACAUAGGCAAAUUGCGGUUUGUCCAAAUCAAAGCAACACGUAUUGCACAUAGAUAUACAC
Long non-coding RNA from Oncorhynchus tshawytscha (Chinook salmon), 464 nucleotides. The record is from Ensembl. Lineage: Eukaryota; Metazoa; Chordata; Actinopteri; Salmoniformes; Salmonidae.